This 362-nucleotide ribosomal RNA is filed under the name uncultured bacterium. Its description in RNAcentral is "partial 16S ribosomal RNA". It matches the Rfam family "Bacterial small subunit ribosomal RNA", at positions 338 to 697 of the family's 1533-position model. The record is from RNAcentral.
CCUACGGGGGGCAGCAGUGAGGAAUAUUGGUCAAUGGUCGUAAGACUGAACCAGCCAAGUAGCGUGAGGGAGGAAGGUACAGUGUAUCGUAAACCUCUUUUGUCAGGGAACAAAGACUGGGACGCGUCCCUGGAUGAGUGUAUCUGACGAAAAAGCAUCGGCUAACUCCGUGCCAGCAGCCGCGGUAAUACGGAGGAUGCGAGCGUUAUCCGGAUUUAUUGGGUUUAAAGGGUGCGUAGGCGGUCUGUUAAGUUAGAGGUGAAAUCCCGAGGCUCAACUUCGGGCUGGCCUUUGACACGGGCAGGCUCGAGAUGAGGAGAGGUAGGCGGAAUGCGCGGUGUAGCGGUGAAAUGCAUAGAGAU